Molecule: ribosomal RNA, 376 nt
Filed under: uncultured Legionella sp.
Lineage: Bacteria; Pseudomonadati; Pseudomonadota; Gammaproteobacteria; Legionellales; Legionellaceae
Description: bacterial SSU rRNA
Rfam family: Bacterial small subunit ribosomal RNA
Source: RNAcentral
UUAGCUGGUCUGAGAGGAUGACCAGCCACACUGGAACUGAGACACGGUCCAGACUCCUACGGGAGGCAGCAGUGGGGAAUAUUGGACAAUGGGGGAAACCCUGAUCCAGCAAUGCCGCGUGUGUGAAGAAGGCCUGAGGGUUGUAAAGCACUUUCAGUGGGGAGGAGGGUUGAUAGGUUAAGAGCUAAUUAACUGGACGUUACCCACAGAAGAAGCACCGGCUAACUCCGUGCCAGCAGCCGCGGUAAUACGGAGGGUGCGAGCGUUAAUCGGAAUUACUGGGCGUAAAGGGUGCGUAGGUGGUUUAUUAAGUUAUCUGUGAAAUCCCUGGGCUUAACCUGGGCAGGUCAGAUAAGACUGGUUGACUCGAGUAUGG